ACGAAGGGGGCUAGCGUUGUUCGGAAUCACUGGGCGUAAAGGGCGCGUAGGCGGCUUUAUAAGUCGGGGGUGAAAGCCUGUGGCUCAACCACAGAAUUGCCUUCGAUACUGUAUGGCUAGAGGACGGAAGAGGAUAGUGGAAUUCCUGGUGUAGCGGUGAAAUGCGUAGAUAUCAGGAAGAACACCAGUGGCGAAGGCGGCUCACUGGACCGGAACUGACGCUGAGGCGCGAAAGCGUGGGGAGCAAACAGGA
Molecule: ribosomal RNA, 253 nt
Filed under: uncultured prokaryote
Description: partial 16S ribosomal RNA
Rfam family: Bacterial small subunit ribosomal RNA
Source: RNAcentral